This 247-nucleotide unclassified non-coding RNA is filed under the name Hevea brasiliensis (rubber tree). Lineage: Eukaryota; Viridiplantae; Streptophyta; Magnoliopsida; Malpighiales; Euphorbiaceae. The record is from RNAcentral.
AACAGCUCCUGAAUAUCCAUAGGAAGGAAAUCUAUCAUAAUUUAGAGGGGGAAAACAUAGCAUCACCACAGUCAAUCUUAACAUUUCAAGUACAAUUAAAUGAACAGUCAAUACUGCUGAGAAAUCGAUCCACAUGCUUGCUAUGAAAUUAAUUUCCCGACUAUGUUUCCUGUGCAAUCAAUUUCUAAGUGUGCUUGAAGCCUUGAACUACCAGUCAGUAGGACUAGAUACAAGUAUGGGUCGUUAA